This 440-nucleotide ribosomal RNA is filed under the name uncultured bacterium. Its description in RNAcentral is "partial 16S ribosomal RNA". It matches the Rfam family "Bacterial small subunit ribosomal RNA", at positions 338 to 795 of the family's 1533-position model. The record is from RNAcentral.
CCUACGUGAGGCAGCAGUGGGGAAUAUUGCACAAUGGGCGAAACCCUGAUGCAGCGACGCCGCGUGCGUGAAGAAGUAUUUCGGUAUGUAAAGCUCUAUCAGCAGGGGAGAAAAUGACGGUACCUGAUUAAGAAGCCCCGUAUAACUACGUGCCAGCAGCCGCGGUAUUACGUAGGGGGCAGGCGUUAUCCGGAUUUACUGGGUGUAAAGGGGGCGUAGACGGCAGCACAAGUCUGGAGUGAAAUGCCGGGGCUUAAACCCGGAACUGCUUUGGAAACUGGGCAGCUAGAGUGCAGGAGAGGUAAGUGGAAUUCCGAGGGUAGCGGUGAAAUGCGUAGAUAUUAGGAGGAACACCAGUGGCGAAGGCGGCUUACUGGACUGUAACUGACGUUGAGGCUCGAAAGCGUGGGGAGCAAACAGGAUUAGAUACCCCAGUAGUC